RNAcentral lists this ribosomal RNA (580 nucleotides) under uncultured bacterium. Its description in RNAcentral is "bacterial SSU rRNA". It matches the Rfam family "Bacterial small subunit ribosomal RNA", at positions 102 to 678 of the family's 1533-position model. The record is from RNAcentral.
ACGGGUGAGUAAUGUCUGGGGAUCUGCCCGAUAGAGGGGGAUAACCACUGGAAACGGUGGCUAAUACCGCAUAACGUCGCAAGACCAAAGAGGGGGACCUUCGGGCCUCUCACUAUCGGAUGAACCCAGAUGGGAUUAGCUAGUAGGCGGGGUAACGGCCCACCUAGGCGACGAUCCCUAGCUGGUCUGAGAGGAUGACCAGCCACACUGGAACUGAGACACGGUCCAGACUCCUACGGGAGGCAGCAGUGGGGAAUAUUGCACAAUGGGCGCAAGCCUGAUGCAGCCAUGCCGCGUGUAUGAAGAAGGCCUUCGGGUUGUAAAGUACUUUCAGCGGGGAGGAAGGCGAUGUGGUUAAUAACCGCGUCGAUUGACGUUACCCGCAGAAGAAGCACCGGCUAACUCCGUGCCAGCAGCCGCGGUAAUACGGAGGGUGCAAGCGUUAAUCGGAAUUACUGGGCGUAAAGCGCACGCAGGCGGUCUGUUAAGUCAGAUGUGAAAUCCCCGGGCUUAACCUGGGAACUGCAUUUGAAACUGGCAGGCUUGAGUCUCGUAGAGGGGGGUAGAAUUCCAGGUGUAG